RNAcentral lists this long non-coding RNA (3600 nucleotides) under Polistes fuscatus (common paper wasp). RNAcentral describes it as "uncharacterized LOC122519674". The record is from RNAcentral. Lineage: Eukaryota; Metazoa; Arthropoda; Insecta; Hymenoptera; Vespidae.
ACAUUGAGGGAUCAUCAUCAUCAUCAUCAUCAUCAUCAUCAUCAUCAUCCAUCCAGGGAGAAGACAUCGAGGGUUAUCAUCAUUCUAUUUCAGAAGAGAAUAUCUAUCAAAGCAUCACCAUCAUUCCAUCUGAAGAGAGGACAUCGAGGGACCAUUAUCAUCAUUCCAUUUGAAGAGAGGACAUCAAAGGACUAUUACCACUACUAAUCAUCACUGUGCUAUCUGGAAAGUAGACAUCGAGGGACUACCAUCAGACUGUCAUCAUAUGCGAUAUUAUCAAGAAAUCAUCACCACCCAGGCAUAGACAUUAAAGAGGCAUCAUCUAUAUGGACAUUGAUGGAUCAUCACUUGAAGAUUAUCUAAUUACCUGAUAAAAAUAAUCACUUGAAAAGAGGACAUUGAGGAAUUAUUAACUGAAGAUCAUCAUUAACAACAUUGAGAAUCGCGGGAUAUUAUAUUGUAUCAUCGUAUCAUCUGGAAGAUUGAAUACUAAGGAAGCACUCCUAUUUAUUCAGAAAUUCAAUAUCACAGAUUAUCAUCCUCAUCAUCGUUUUCCAAGGACCCGGACAUCCAAUCUUAGAGGGAAUGCAGAGUUCCAGCAAAACAGUAUAUUUUUUCUUUCUAAAAGAUAUCUUUUUAUCAUUCGUUAAAGGUAUCCCAAUCCAUUGAAGGAAGAUAACUAUAAUGACUACUUGUUAAAGUUUGAAUAUUUCUUUAUUCGAAGACCUCACUGAAGAGUUACUGACCUCAUCAUUAGGAUUAAACAUUCAUUUAACUUUUUCUCGAUUAUUGAUUUCUUUUCAUUAAUAUAUUUUAAUUUUUCAAAUAUUUAGAAUCUUAAUCGAAGAAUUUUUGCUUGUUUAUCACUUAAAAUUUGAACAUUUCUUUACUCGAAGAUCUCACUAGGACUAAGAGUCCUAGUAUUUAUUGAGAAAUUCAGUAUCAGAGAAUAUCUGAAGAGAGAACAUCGAAGGACUAUUACCACUACUAAUCAUCACUGUGCUAUCUGGAAAGUGUACAUCGAGGGACUACCAUCAGACUGUCAUCAUAUGCGAUAUCAUCAAGAAAUCAUUACUUACUAUCCAGGCAGACAUUAAAGAGGCAUCAUAUAUAUCUGUGGUUCCCAAACUUUUUUGGUCCAUGGACCCCUUUUUAUAGUCAAAAGUUGUCCACAGUCCCCCAAGUGAAAAAGCUACUAUAAAGCAUAAGACAAAAAUUUAAAAAAAAAUUGUUGGAGAAGUAUUUAUUGAAAUUAUAACUUUUGUUUAAAAUGAAAUAGAAAAAAUUAAUGACUUGGGUGAACAUGAUGAGAUUUUAUCGGUGUAAUUAUGUCUGGUUCGAAGUUUGUGAGUAGCAACCGCAAAUCCCCAUUAGCAUUAAUUUCUAACCGGUUUAUUUUUUUGUGAUGAGAUUCAUAACGGCACUGAAUCCACAUUCUACCAAAUAGGAAGACGGGAAAGCAGUCGUCAACAACUUCUCUACAGUAACCUAUAGCGCAGGAUAAAAUUAAGAUCUGUUUUUGUAACCAGAAUUUGUGUAUCCUUGUUGAAACAUUGGUUUAAGUUCCUUAUUUGUGGAUGUUUUUUUAUAUUAAUAAUUAAACUUUGCGCGGACCCCCCGACGUUGUCCAGGGACCCCCAAAUCAUUUUUAAUCUUCCGCGGACAUCCUGAAUGAUACGGGGGGGGGAUCCCUGAGGGUCCGGAGGGACUACUUUGGGAACCACUGAUCUAUAUGGACAUUGAUAAGUCAUUACUUGAAGAUUAUCAUCUAAUGAAGAUAAUCACUUGGAAAGAGGACAUUGAGGAAUUAUUACUUGAAGAUCAUCAUUAACAACAUUGAGAAUCGCGGGUUAUCAUAUUAUAUCAUCGUAUCAUCUGGAAGAUUGAAUACUAAGGAAGCACUCCUAUUUAUUCAGAAAUUCAAUAUCACAGAUUAUCAUCCUCAUCAUCGUUUUCCAAGGACCCGGACAUCCAAUCUUAGAGGGAAUGCAGAGUUCCAGCAAAACAGUAUAUUUUUUCUUUCUAAAAGAUAUUUUUUUUAUCAUUCGUUAAAGGUAUCCCAAUCCAUUGAAGGAAGAUAACUAUAAUGACUACUUGUUAAAAUUUGAAUAUUUCUUUAUUCGAAGACCUCACUGAAGAGUUACUGACCUCAUCAUUAGGAUUAAACAUUCAUUUAACUUUUUCUCGAUUAUUGAUUUCUUUUCAUUAAUAUAUUUUAAUUUUUCAAAUAUUUAGAAUCUUAAUCGAAGAAUUUUUGCUUGUUUAUCACUUAAAAUUUGAACAUUUCUUUACUCGAAGAUCUCACUAGGACUAAGAGUCCUAGUAUUUAUUGAGAAAUUCAGUAUCAGAGAAUAUCUGAAGAGAGAACAUCGAAGGACUAUUACCACUACUAAUCAUCACUGUGCUAUCUGGAAAGUGUACAUCGAGGGACUACCAUCAGACUGUCAUCAUAUGCGAUAUCAUCAAGAAAUCAUUACUUACUAUCCAGGCAGACAUUAAAGAGGCAUCAUAUAUAUCUGUGGUUCCCAAACUUUUUUGGUCCAUGGACCCCUUUUUAUAGUCAAAAGUUGUCCACAGUCCCCCAAGUGAAAAAGCUACUAUAAAGCAUAAGACAAAAAUUAAAAAAAAAUUGUUGGAGAAGUAUUUAUUGAAAUUAUAACUUUUGUUUAAAAUGAAAUAGAAAAAAUUAAUGACUUGGGUGAACAUGAUGAGAUUUUAUCGGUAUAAUUAUGUCUGGUUCGAAGUUUGUGAGUAGCAACCGCAAAUCCCCAUUAGCAUUAAUUUCUAACCAGUUUAUUUUUUUGUGAUGAGAUUCAUAACGGCACUGAAUCCACAUUCUACCAAAUAGGAAGACGGGAAAGCAGUCGUCAACAACUUCUCUACAGUAACCUAUAGCGCAGGAUAAAAUUAAGAUCUGUUUUUGUAACCAGAAUUUGUGUAUCCUUGUUGAAACAUUGGUUUAAGUUCCUCAUUUGUGGAUAUUUUUUUAUAUUAAUAAUUAAACUUUGCGCGGACCCCCCGACGUUGUCCAGGGACCCCCAAAUCAUUUUUAAUCUUCCGCGGACAUCCUGAAUGAUACGGGGGGGGGGAUCCCUGAGGGUCCGUAGGGACUACUUUGGGAACCACUGAUCUAUAUGGACAUUGAUAAAUCAUUACUUGAAGAUUAUCAUCUAAUGAAGAUAAUCACUUGGAAAGAGGACAUUGAGGAAUUAUUACUUGAAGAUCAUCAUUAACAACAUUGAGAAUCGCGGGUUAUCAUAUUAUAUCAUCGUAUCAUCUGGAAGAUUGAAUACUAAGGAAGCACUCCUUCUAUUUAUUCAGAAAUUCAAUAUCUUAGAUUAUCAUCUUCAUCAUCGUUUUCCAAGGACCCGGACAUCCAAUCUUAGAGGGAAUGCAGAGUUCCAGCAAAACAGUAUAUUUUUUCUUUCUAAAAGAUAUUUUUUUAUCAUUCGUUAAAGGUAUCCCAAUCCAUUGAAGGAAGAUAACUAUAAUGACUACUUGUUAAAGUUUGAAUAUUUCUUUAUUCGAAGACCUCACUGAAGAGUUACUGACCUCAUCAUUAGGAUUAAACAUUCAUUUAACUUUUUCUCGAUUAUUGAU